RNAcentral lists this ribosomal RNA (402 nucleotides) under uncultured prokaryote. RNAcentral's name for it is "bacterial SSU rRNA". It matches the Rfam family "Bacterial small subunit ribosomal RNA", at positions 355 to 774 of the family's 1533-position model. The record is from RNAcentral.
UGGGGAAUAUUGGACAAUGGGCGCAAGCCUGAUCCAGCCAUGCCGCGUGAGUGAUGACGGCCUUAGGGUUGUAAAGCUCUUUCACCCACGACGAUAAUGACGGUAGUGGGAGAAGAAGCCCCGGCUAACUUCGUGCCAGCAGCCGCGGUAAUACGAAGGGGGCUAGCGUUGUUCGGCAUUACUGGGCGUAAAGCGUACGUAGGCGGACCGUUAAGUCAGAGGUGAAAUCCCGGAGCUCAACUUCGGAAUUGCCUUUGAUACUGGCGGUCUUGAGUUCGGGAGAGGUGAGUGAAACUGCUAGUGUAGAGGUGAAAUUCGUAGAUAUUAGCAAGAACACCAGUGGCGAAGGCGGCUCACUGGCCCGAUACUGACGCUGAGGUACGAAAGCGUGGGGAGCAAACA